Molecule: long non-coding RNA, 1089 nt
Filed under: Bos grunniens (domestic yak)
Lineage: Eukaryota; Metazoa; Chordata; Mammalia; Artiodactyla; Bovidae
Description: lncRNA (ENSBGRG00000001341.1)
Source: RNAcentral
GAAAGGAGAGAGGGGGGUCAGUUAAAAGAAACAAGUUGGGCAAUUUAUAUUUAGUGUUUAUGCAAACAAAUGUUUAAAACCAUCUUGAACUUUGGCAGCUUUUUUUUUUUGGUGGCUUUUCUAUUCUUUGGAUGUUUUUAUUUAAUUAUACAAUAAUAAUCUCAGAAGUUCAUGGUUUCAAUUUAUCUGAUUAAAAAAAAAGCUAGGCAUUACCCCUCAUAGUAUUUAAUUAAACAUUUUUAUCAAUCACACUGAAUAAAUAUACAGUCACAAGUACCACUGGUUGGUAUUUAAAAAACUGGCAUAUAUUAAAGCCCCAGUUUGGGUAUGCAACACAUUAGCUUCGGUUAGCAAACAUAGCAAUUGUUUUUCCUAAGAAAAUUGUUUCUUUUAAUUAAAGCAUUUGCUCUUCUCUUAGCACUCUACAAUGUGUGACGCAAAAUAAACAUAAAAUAGUUACUGCAGAUUUUUCCUUCAGCUUUCUCAGUCCAGAUUUAGAAUAAAUUGAUUCAGAAUAAUUUCUUUAGGGCUUAUUUACUUGGAAUGGGAGAAAAAUAUACUACUGGCAAUUUUGGUAAUCAGAAAAACUACUUUAUCAAUAAAUCAUAAUAUCUAUCCUAAGAAAACCCCUAUAGAAAACAUGAUGAGAUAUUAAGAAGUGGGAGAAGACAUCUCCAGCUAUAUAUGGAAUGCCUGUUGAAAAAAUUUAGUCACAUGGGAACAUGAUUGUUUCAAACAUUGAAGAUCUGAUAGAAACAAAGAAUAUGGAUCUUGAACCUAAGACCCACUUUUUAAACAUGAGUAUUGGAUGAAAGAAUGUUCAUGCAGUAUGGCUGAACCAUCAAAGAAAGUGUGAUUCUGCUGGAUUUUCUCUUCAAGUAAUAUUAGAGAUUUUAGGAGUCCUAGGAAUCAAUUCCUCUUACAGAACUACUUCCAAUGGAAAGUAAGUAUAGAAUUGCCGGUCUACACAUUCACCUGUGUGACUAAAGCUUUUAAAGAAAAAUAAUAAAUGAAACCAUUUUAUGUGCCACCAAAUACUGGUAUCACUUUUUUUUAAACAAGUCUUUAGAAUUUACUGGGUUUUUUUUA